AGUUUGAUCAUGGCUCAGAACGAACGCUGGCGGCACGCCUAACACAUGCAAGUCGAGCGCAGUCCUUCGGGACCGAGCGGCGGACGGGUUAGUAACGCGUGGGAACAUACCCAACUCUAAGGAAUAGCCUCUGGAAACGGAGAGUAAUACCUUAUACGCCCUUCGGGGGAAAGAUUUAUCGGAGAUGGAUUGGCCCGCGUUAGAUUAGAUAGUUGGUGGGGUAAUGGCCUACCAAGUCUACGAUCUAUAGCUGGUUUGAGAGGAUGAUCAGCAACACUGGGACUGAGACACGGCCCAGACUCCUACGGGAGGCAGCAGUGGGGAAUCUUAGACAAUGGGCGAAAGCCUGAUCUAGCGAUGCCGCGUGUGUGACGAAGGCCUUAGGGUCGUAAAGCACUUUCGCCAGGGAUGAUAAUGACAGUACCUGGUAAAGAAACCCCGGCUAACUCCGUGC
RNAcentral lists this ribosomal RNA (454 nucleotides) under uncultured Alphaproteobacteria bacterium. RNAcentral's name for it is "bacterial SSU rRNA". It matches the Rfam family "Bacterial small subunit ribosomal RNA", at positions 10 to 508 of the family's 1533-position model. The record is from RNAcentral. Lineage: Bacteria; Pseudomonadati; Pseudomonadota; Alphaproteobacteria.